Long non-coding RNA from Folsomia candida, 3063 nucleotides. RefSeq lists it as uncharacterized. The transcript has 2 exons. The record is from RefSeq and is a predicted model, not a curated record. Lineage: Eukaryota; Metazoa; Arthropoda; Collembola; Entomobryomorpha; Isotomidae.
GAUCGAUUUACGGCUCACACGUCCCACACUGACUUAUAUUUUUUGUUCAGUUACCAGGCUGCUUAUUCUUCAAAAUGUAGCGAACCAAUCCACACUUGUGUCUGAAUUUUCCCUUCGGGGGAAAUGUUCCGCCCUCUUUCUUUCCACUUUUCUUUUUAAACCCCCAGCCAUAUUCGGACGGCUCUUGACAAGCUACACAAUUCUUGACAUCAUUCCUUAGGUGCUCUCCCAUGUGGCAUAUUUCACGUGCGAAUUCUUGUUCAACAUAACCCUUCCUUGGUCCGGAGCUCAAAGACUUGAUUGUCAUCAUUCGAACGAUGGUCUCUCAUGGAAAUGCUUCACAUAAAACAGUUUACACGGACUAGAAGAGGAGGAAGAAGAACGAAAAGAGCUUGACACCCACCGAGAAGUUACGUACGGAAGCAUGCAUAAAGGAAACAAGUUAUAGUUAUGAUGGACAAUAUUAUGUAAAAGUAGACCAAGUUAUACACGCACGAUUUGUCUGACCUUAUUCAAUCCACAAGUCCUUUACACGGUCAUUAUUAUUAUUAUUUUUUAAAAGUACUUGAAGGCACGCAUGUAUUCCGAAGUCUACAAAGUUGGAUAAAAGCGUUAAGCUUUAGGAACAACCUAAAAAAAUUCACGAUGCCUUUGGAUUUUCUCGUCGUCCACUCACGCCCAAAACAUGUCGUCAGUUUUUAAAUCUAUAACUAUGUACACACACGCCUCUGUUUCACAAAUCAAAUACACAAAGCUACACACGUACCAAAUAUAAUAUAGGUAUUUGGAAUAAUCGGCAUGUUUCAUAAUCAAAUCCACCCUGAAACACUCCAUCACUAAUCGUACACGUACAUACUUAGGUCCAGUAGUCCACAUGUUACUCCAAAUUGACACAUAACUACAUAACUAUAUGGUUCAACCAUGAAAUAUCGAAUUUAGGAAUACGAUCAAAUCAUGAUUUAUGAACCGACUGUGCGAAGUAUAGAAUAUUAGAAAAAUUGUGCGGCAUAUUUACAUGUCGUGUUGUCACUUAACGAAUUUACAUAGAACUCCAGAGGUGCAUACAAUAACAAUACAUAUAAAAUAUACAAAUUGACUCAAUGUUCAUAAUCUAAAUACAAAUAUACACCGUAGCAGCAGUAACAAUCAUUCCAUUUAAGCGCAAGCAUUUCCAACAGAAUGAUUCCGUUAUGUACAAUGCACAACUUAUCGUUCGAGUUUGAUUUAUGUAAACCAAAAUUCAUAUUACUAACCGACUAAUGAAUUACUGCAAAUACAAGGAGGCAAACCCGUAUUAGCACAACUUUUCAAAAUUUAUCUCUCGAUUUUAAGUGUGAAUUUGUAAAGUUCCGCAUAUUGACAAUGAUUCAAAUAACUAUAGUCUUAAAACACUGCCUAUAAAAGUGCUGGUCAUGGUGUUGUCAGUCCCAGUUGUACUUAUCAACCAAAAACUGUGAACACGUCCAUUUUCAGAGGUUUCGAGUUUGAUGGUGCCAUUAGAAUGUAAAUAUCUCGAAGACGCUUACACACAAACAGCGGAUGCAUGCAUGGGGACUGUAAUGAGAGAGAGAAAGUAAUGCCUUGUGGGAAUCAUGGGUAAUUAACGGUGGGCAAGACUUGAGUGUUCACACGCCAAUAAACCAUUUUGUUAUGAAAUGCAGUUCUAUUUUGAGGCAAGAUUACUUUCAAUGAAAAUGAAUUUCAACCCUCAAACCCAAGUUAUUUAAUUUACGGAAACAGGGUGGCUGGACUUUUUCACCAACGUGUUGCGACAUCGUAAAUUAAUCAUACAAUUAAAUUCAUGCAUGGUCAGCAGAGUCAGAGUGAAUGGUGACAAAUGAAAUAGCGUAUGUAAUUAAUUAUUGGUAAAACUCUGUUAAAACUACGUCGGAGGUCGUGCGCCCUUCAAGAUCGUGGCAACAUAUUUAACAAACGUACAUGUACGAAUGUACGUACGUGGACAUAAUAUGUUGUUCUGCGCUUGAUGAGCCCGUGAAACUUCGGUAGUGCCAUAUUACCGUAAUCCUGAUAUUAUUACAAUACCUAAAUCCUAGAGAGCUUAGAGGUUAAUCAGGUUGCUAUUUAUUGCCAAUUCAAUGAAGUGGUAGUGCGUAUCCCAUAUCUGAAUAUUGUACAUUGUUACAUUGCUGUUUGAUUAUAAUAUGUCGUAUUGGUAGCUCUAUCAGUUGUGUAAUAAAUAGUUAUACGCUGUAUUAUGGAAGUGCUGUAGGGUUAUUCAACCAAAGUUUUUAAACCCAAAGAUACGUUGUCACAAAUUUAAUGUAAUUCCUUUACUUGCUGAAAACUACUUGGAUACGGUUAAUGCAUAAUGUAAUUAAGUAGCUUUAAGUGCGUCUGUAUUAAUUGUGAAUACAAAUGGUCUCAUCAAAGCAAGGGGCGUGAUAUUCAUAAUUAGGAAUUCAUGCUCGGUCCAUGAACAGCAACUAUUUCCACAACAAUUUAUAUAACUCAGUGUAUUAAUGACUUGUGGGCAAAGUUGAACAAUAGUCGAUAGCCGUCGAUGUAGAGCAGUAUCGCGUAACUUUGUAUGUAGCUUUUAAGAUUUUGUAGCAUUUGGUGUAUAUUGAUAACGCGUGCUCGUUUUAAACAAUUACGGUGCGAUAUAAAUUAACGUUAAAAUUACACAUGCAUGUCUAAUUAACUUAUUUAUUGCUUAUGUAUCAUAUUAUAAGUAUUCCUACGUAGUUAAUUCCCAGAACUCUGCGGCAGAUUUACUUAAGUAUGAAUACAUAUGUACUACGUGUGUAUACAUUAUAUACACCCAUAUAUGUGUAAGGCAACUAUAUUGUUUAAAAGUAAGAUAUAAAAUUGAUGAAUGAGUGGAACAGAAUGAGGUAUGUGCAACAUUUCAGCUGCCCAACGUCCGUUUUGAAAAUUGUAUUUUAUUUUAAGUAUUAGUUUCAAGAUCACAAAUCAGCAUUUGAAUAAUCUGAUUAACAAAACAGUCUCAAGUCAAAAAAUAUAUAAAGUUUACAAGUUGUAAGACCUCUCAAUUCAAAAUUUUAAAUGACGGUUAAUAAAUCAUAUCAAGUUUAAUAAGGA